Long non-coding RNA from Octodon degus (degu), 615 nucleotides. RefSeq lists it as uncharacterized. NCBI's taxonomy places the organism in Eukaryota, Metazoa, Chordata, Mammalia, Rodentia, Octodontidae. The transcript is spliced from 3 exons. The record is from RefSeq and is a predicted model, not a curated record.
CAUGGGUUCAAGAUGCAGGUGUUGGCAGGCACAUCUGCGACGCUAGAGUUGGGGCACUCUGCUCCAGUCUGACCUCCCCUGAACUGAUCACAUCUGCAACGAUCUUAUUCCUGAGUAAGGUCCCACCCAGCCUGUGGUCCUGGGGUGCUACCUAGGACUUCACCCUAGGUCCACACAUGAGAGAGGCUACUGCCACUCUUCAAAGCGCCGAGAAGUGGCUGUCCAGCCCCGAAGGCCAUGGCCAUCCAUCUUGCGGGCUGCAACGCCAAGAAGCGGGGUCCCCAUGGCCAAUGCCUGCGCUCCCCUGGGUCAGGAGCUCCUCGCCCUUCCAGCAGAAUUUCCUGGCUGUGGCCUCGGAUGCUUCCCCCGCUCCCCCGCUCCCCCCCCAGGCUGCCCUGGGCCUGCUUCCCUCCCACACCUGGGUGGGGGAGAUGAAAGGGCAGCUCCAGGCCCCACCGCCCAUGCCCAGGCCGACCCUGACACAGGUCAAAUUUGACUUCACAGUGGACCAGGGAGCCGUUUAGCAAGACGGUAAAAGAAUAAGCUAUGGCCUUGUCUUACCCAGGCUUCCAAACAGCUGACCUGCAAAACUGAGAGGAAAGGACACCCAGCUUA